GUCCCGUUCGUCUAGAGGCCUAGGACGCCGCCCUCUCACGGCGGCAACAGGGGUUCGAAUCCCCUACGGGACGCCA
This 76-nucleotide transfer RNA is filed under the name Rhodospirillales bacterium. RNAcentral's name for it is "tRNA-Glu". It matches the Rfam family "tRNA". From Rfam's summary of the family: Transfer RNA (tRNA) molecules are approximately 80 nucleotides in length. Their secondary structure includes four short double-helical elements and three loops (D, anti-codon, and T loops). Lineage: Bacteria; Pseudomonadati; Pseudomonadota; Alphaproteobacteria; Rhodospirillales. RNAcentral also lists the same sequence under 1 other name. The record is from RNAcentral.